This 789-nucleotide ribosomal RNA is filed under the name uncultured archaeon. RNAcentral describes it as "bacterial SSU rRNA". It matches the Rfam family "Archaeal small subunit ribosomal RNA", at positions 85 to 879 of the family's 1478-position model. The record is from RNAcentral.
ACGGCUCAGUAACACGUGGAUAACCUGCCCUGUGGAGGGAAAUAACCCCGGGAAACUGGGGAUAAUGUCCCAUAGACUACGGAUACUGGAAUGUUCUGUAGUUCAAAGAUUUAUCGCCACAGGAUGGAUCUGCGGCCGAUUAGGUAGUUGUUGGGGUAACGGCCCAACAAGCCUUUGAUCGGUACGGGUUGUGGGAGCAAGAGCCCGGAGAUGGAUUCUGAGACACGAAUCCAGGCCCUACGGGGCGCAGCAGGCGCGAAAACUUUACAAUGCGGGAAACCGUGAUAAGGGAACUCCGAGUGUCCGUAAAUGCGGACUGUCCGUAUGUCUAAAAAGCAUGCGAAGAAAGGGCCGGGCAAGACCGGUGCCAGCCGCCGCGGUAAUACCGGCGGCUCGAGUGGUGGCCACUAUUACUGGGCUUAAAGCGUUCGUAGCUGGGUUGUUAAGUCUCUUGGGAAAUCUACCGGCUUAACCGAUAGGCGUCCAAGGGAUACUGGCAAUCUAGGGACCGGGAGAGGUGAGGGGUACUUCAGGGGUAGGAGUGAAAUCCUGUAAUCCUUGGGGGACCACCUGUGGCGAAGGCGCCUCACCAGAACGGCUCCGACAGUGAGGGACGAAAGCUGGGGGAGCAAACCGGAUUAGAUACCCGGGUAGUCCCAGCCGUAAACGAUGCGCGUUAGGUGUAUCGAUGACCACGAGUCAUCGAGGUGCCGAAGGGAAACCGUGAAACGCGCCGCCUGGGAAGUACGGUCGCAAGGCUGAAACUUAAAGGAAUUGGCGGGGGAGCAC